GGCUGGUCCGAUGGUAGUGGGUUAUCAGAACUUAUUAACGUUAGUGUCACUAAAGUUGGUAUACAACCCCCCCACUGCUAAAUUUGACUGGCUUUUU
This 97-nucleotide Y RNA is filed under the name Catagonus wagneri (Chacoan peccary). Its description in RNAcentral is "Y RNA (ENSCWAG00000011190.1)". It matches the Rfam family "Y RNA". From Rfam's summary of the family: Y RNAs are components of the Ro ribonucleoprotein particle (Ro RNP), in association with Ro60 and La proteins. Lineage: Eukaryota; Metazoa; Chordata; Mammalia; Artiodactyla; Tayassuidae. The record is from Rfam by way of RNAcentral.